GUCCACGCCGUAAACGAUGAGCACUAGGUGUCGCGGGUAUUGACCCCUGCGGUGCCUACGCUAACGCAUUAAGUGCUCCGCCUGGGGAAUACGGCCGCAAGGUUAAAACUCAAAGGAAUUGACGGGGGCCCCGCACAAGCGGUGGAGCAUGUGGUUCAAUUCGACGCAACGCGAAGAACCUUACCUGGGCUAGACAACGGAGGACCGCCUCAGAGAUGAGGUUUUCCCUUCGGGGACUUCCGGUUCAGGUGCUGCAUGGCUGUCGU
RNAcentral lists this ribosomal RNA (266 nucleotides) under uncultured bacterium. RNAcentral's name for it is "partial 16S ribosomal RNA". It matches the Rfam family "Bacterial small subunit ribosomal RNA", at positions 793 to 1055 of the family's 1533-position model. The record is from RNAcentral.